This 76-nucleotide transfer RNA is filed under the name Pseudomonadota bacterium. Its description in RNAcentral is "tRNA-Lys". It matches the Rfam family "tRNA". Rfam says of the family: Transfer RNA (tRNA) molecules are approximately 80 nucleotides in length. Their secondary structure includes four short double-helical elements and three loops (D, anti-codon, and T loops). RNAcentral also lists the same sequence under 2 other names. The record is from RNAcentral. Lineage: Bacteria; Pseudomonadati; Pseudomonadota.
GGGCCGUUAGCUCAGUUGGUAGAGCAGCUGACUCUUAAUCAGCGGGUCCGGGGUUCGAGUCCCUGACGGCCCACCA